GGGGGCUUUUGGUUUAGUGGUUAUACUUUAUCACGUUAUCAGCACCAUUGCUCUGAAGGUCGUGGGUUCAAUUCCCAGUCAGACCACCA
Physocladia obscura is the source of this 89-nucleotide non-coding RNA. The record is from the annotation of a GenBank genome assembly. NCBI's taxonomy places the organism in Eukaryota, Fungi, Chytridiomycota, Chytridiomycetes, Chytridiales, Chytriomycetaceae.